Molecule: ribosomal RNA, 272 nt
Filed under: uncultured bacterium
Lineage: Bacteria
Description: partial 16S ribosomal RNA
Rfam family: Bacterial small subunit ribosomal RNA
Source: RNAcentral
UUCGACCUACGGGGGGCAGCAGUAGGGAAUUUUCGUCAAUGGGCGCAAGCCUGAACGAGCAAUGCCGCGUGAACGAGGAAGGUCUUCGGAUCGUAAAGUUCUGUUGAAGGGGAAAAAGAGCGGAGAGAGGAAAUGAGCUCCGAUUGAUAUUACCCUUCGAGGAAGUCACGGCUAACUACGUGCCAGCAGCCGCGGUAAUACGUAGGUGGCGAGCGUUAUCCGGAAUGAUUGGGCGUAAAGGGUGCGUAGGCGGCCUGCUAAGACUGGCGUGA